GACCCACCUGGAAGCGCCGCGGCGCCGCUAUCGAGCUUCCUGCAGCGGUGGCCACCCGAGCAAGUGCCGUGGCGGGGGCGGAGAGCGGCCACGGCGGCGGCGCCUCCCCAAGUGGCCCGUUGCGUCCGACCCCGCGUGAAAGAUAUCAAGUUAUUCUAGUACAACCAUAUAAAUAAAUAAUACCUGAAGUCUCAGUGUAACAUGGACAAUUAACAGUGAUGACAGAUAAAUACAGACGCAUGGGGAUCAAAUACUAGGCAAAACGCUUUUUAAAAGUGUAUCAGGCUUUUAAGAAACACUGCAGGAUCCUGUCUAUCUUAAUGCUGAUAGAGCUCAGCUAAAAAUUUAGGAGGUUCUAGUAUUCUUCAUGGCUGAAGCUGAGAGAGUCUGAAACCCUGAUGCUUAAGCUCCAUUCUAGAUCAUAGCUCCAACUCCUUCAGGAUAUAAGGAAAAGAGAUUAUAUUUCCACAAUGAUAGAUCUUUGGUUGUACAGGUUUCCCAAUGAGUGGAUCAUGAUGACCGUAUUGUAGGGACUUGCCAUAGUAUGGCUGCUUCCCGAUCUACUCGUGUUACAAGAUCAACAGUGG
Molecule: long non-coding RNA, 587 nt
Filed under: Homo sapiens (human)
Lineage: Eukaryota; Metazoa; Chordata; Mammalia; Primates; Hominidae
Description: non-protein coding lnc-USP33-1:1
Source: RNAcentral